RNAcentral lists this ribosomal RNA (389 nucleotides) under uncultured Pseudoflavonifractor sp. RNAcentral's name for it is "bacterial SSU rRNA". It matches the Rfam family "Bacterial small subunit ribosomal RNA", at positions 354 to 755 of the family's 1533-position model. The record is from RNAcentral. Lineage: Bacteria; Bacillati; Bacillota; Clostridia; Eubacteriales; Oscillospiraceae.
UGGGGGAAUAUUGGGCAAUGGAGGAAACCCUGACCCAGCAACGCCGCGUGAAGGAAGAAGGCCUUCGGGUUGUAAACUUCUUUUAGUCAGGGACGAAGGACGUGACGGUACCUGCAGAAAAAGACAACGGCUAACUACGUGCCAGCAGCCGCGGUAAUACGUAGGUUGCAAGCGUUGUCCGGAUUUACUGGGUGUAAAGGGCGUGUAGGCGGAGAUGCAAGUCAGGAGUGAAAACCCGGGGCUCAACCCCGGAACUGCUUUUGAAACUGUAUCCCUUGAGUGUCGGAGAGGCAAGCGGAAUUCCUAGUGUAGCGGUGAAAUGCGUAGAUAUUAGGAGGAACACCAGUGGCGAAGGCGGCUUGCUGGACGAUAACUGACGCUGAGGCGCG